This is a non-coding RNA of Myotis davidii, 144 nucleotides long. NCBI's taxonomy places the organism in Eukaryota, Metazoa, Chordata, Mammalia, Chiroptera, Vespertilionidae. The record is from Rfam.
UUUGAUGAGAAUCAACCUCACUCUGUCUCAGUGGUAGAGAUCAGUGAAAAUAUUUCUGUCUUCUUGCCACUAGAUAUAUGUGAUUCAAACUUGGAGAACUGAAAGCACAAAUCGAAGGAGCAUUCUUUCUCUUGGCAGGAGAGG